This 253-nucleotide ribosomal RNA is filed under the name uncultured bacterium. RNAcentral's name for it is "partial 16S ribosomal RNA". It matches the Rfam family "Bacterial small subunit ribosomal RNA", at positions 524 to 776 of the family's 1533-position model. The record is from RNAcentral.
UACGAAGGACCCGAGCGUUAUCCGGAUUUAUUGGGUUUAAAGGGUGCGUAGGCGGAAUAGUAAGUCAGUGGUGAAAUCCUGUUGCUUAACAACGGAACUGCCAUUGAUACUGCUAAUCUUGAGUACAUAUGAUGUGGGCGGAAUGUGCCAUGUAGCGGUGUAAUGCUUAGAUAUGGCACAGAACACCGAUUGCGAAGGCAGCUCACAAAACUGUUACUGACGCUGAGGCACGAAGGCGUGGGGAUCAAACAGG